UACGUAGGGUCCGAGCGUUGUCCGGAAUUAUUGGGCGUAAAGAGCUCGUAGGCGGUUUGUCGCGUCUGCUGUGAAAUCCCGAGGCUCAACCUCGGGUCUGCAGUGGGUACGGGCAGACUGGAGUGCGGUAGGGGAGAAUGGAAUUCCUGGUGUAGCGGUGGAAUGCGCAGAUAUCAGGAGGAACACCGGUGGCGAAGGCGGGUCUCUAGGCCGACACUGACGCUGAGGAGCGAAAGCGUGGGGAGCGAACAGG
RNAcentral lists this ribosomal RNA (253 nucleotides) under uncultured bacterium. RNAcentral describes it as "partial 16S ribosomal RNA". It matches the Rfam family "Bacterial small subunit ribosomal RNA", at positions 524 to 776 of the family's 1533-position model. The record is from RNAcentral.